GACGAACGCUGGCGGCGUGCUUAACACAUGCAAGUCGAACGAAGAGCGAUGGAAGCUUGCUUCUAUCAAUCUUAGUGGCGAACGGGUGAGUAACGCGUAAUCAACCUGCCCUUCAGAGGGGGACAACAGUUGGAAACGACUGCUAAUACCGCAUACGAUCUAACCUCGGCAUCGAGGAUAGAUGAAAGGUGGCCUCUACAUGUAAGCUAUCACUGAAGGAGGGGAUUGCGUCUGAUUAGCUAGUUGGAGGGGUAACGGCCCACCAAGGCGAUGAUCAGUAGCCGGUCUGAGAGGAUGAACGGCCACAUUGGGACUGAGACACGGCCCAGACUCCUACGGGAGGCAGCAGUGGGGAAUCUUCCGAAAUGGACGAAAGUCUGACGGAGCAACGCCGCGGGAGUGAUGACGGCCUUCGGGUUGUAAAGCUCUGUUAAUCGGGACGAAAGGCCUUCUUGCGAAUAGUGAGAAGGAUUGACGGUACCGGAAUAGAAAGCCACGGCUAACUACGUG
RNAcentral lists this ribosomal RNA (510 nucleotides) under uncultured bacterium. RNAcentral describes it as "partial 16S ribosomal RNA". It matches the Rfam family "Bacterial small subunit ribosomal RNA", at positions 28 to 507 of the family's 1533-position model. The record is from RNAcentral.